This 70-nucleotide transfer RNA is filed under the name Alteromonas mediterranea DE1. RNAcentral describes it as "tRNA-OTHER". RNAcentral also lists the same sequence under 1 other name. The record is from RNAcentral. Lineage: Bacteria; Pseudomonadati; Pseudomonadota; Gammaproteobacteria; Alteromonadales; Alteromonadaceae.
GCCCUAUAGCUCAGCUGGGAGAGCAAACCUAAGUGUUUUGAAUUAAGCAGUUCGAUCCUGCUUAGCUCCA